RNAcentral lists this non-coding RNA (24 nucleotides) under Cricetulus griseus (Chinese hamster). The record is from RNAcentral. Lineage: Eukaryota; Metazoa; Chordata; Mammalia; Rodentia; Cricetidae.
GUAAGGACAUGUAAGGACUCUGGA